This 562-nucleotide ribosomal RNA is filed under the name uncultured bacterium. RNAcentral describes it as "partial 16S ribosomal RNA". It matches the Rfam family "Bacterial small subunit ribosomal RNA", at positions 355 to 907 of the family's 1533-position model. The record is from RNAcentral.
UGGGGAAUAUUGCACAAUGGGCGCAAGCCUGAUGCAGCCAUGCCGCGUGUGUGAAGAAGGCCUUCGGGUUGUAAAGCACUUUCAGCGAGGAGGAAGGUGGUGGACUUAAUACGUUCAUCAAUUGACGUUACUCGCAGAAGAAGCACCGGCUAACUCCGUGCCAGCAGCCGCGGUAAUACGGAGGGUGCAAGCGUUAAUCGGAAUUACUGGGCGUAAAGCGCACGCAGGCGGUUUGUUAAGUCAGAUGUGAAAUCCCCGGGCUCAACCUGGGAACUGCAUUUGAAACUGGCAAGCUAGAGUCUCGUAGAGGGGGGUAGAAUUCCAGGUGUAGCGGUGAAAUGCGUAGAGAUCUGGAGGAAUACCGGUGGCGAAGGCGGCCCCCUGGACGAAGACUGACGCUCAGGCUGCGAAAGCGUGGGGCAGCAAACAGGAUUAGAUACCCUGGUAGUCCACGCUGUAAACGAUGUCGAUUUGGAGGUUGUGCCCUUGAGGCGUGGCUUCCGGAGCUAACGCGUUAAAUCGACCGCCUGGGGAGUACGGCCGCAAGGUUAAAACUCAAAGG